CCUACGGGUGACAGCAGUGAGGAAUAUUGGUCAAUGGGCGCGAGCCUGAACCAGCCAAGUAGCGUGAAGGAUGACUGCCCUACGGGUGGUAAACUUCUUUUAUAAAGGAAUAAAGUGAGGCACGUGUGCCGUUUUGUAUGUACUUUAUGAAUAAGGAUCGGCUACCGCCGUGCCAGCAGCCGCGGUAAUACGGAGGUUCCGAGCGUUAUCCGGAUUUAGUGGGUUGAAAGGGAGCGUAGAUGGGUUGUUAAGUCAGUUGUGAAAGUUUGCGGCUCCACCGUAAAAUUGCCAUUGAUACGGGCAGCCUUGAGUACAGUUGAGGUAGGCGGAAUUCGUGGUGUCGCGGUG
This 348-nucleotide ribosomal RNA is filed under the name uncultured bacterium. RNAcentral's name for it is "partial 16S ribosomal RNA". It matches the Rfam family "Bacterial small subunit ribosomal RNA", at positions 338 to 683 of the family's 1533-position model. The record is from RNAcentral.